This 68-nucleotide transfer RNA is filed under the name Salmo salar (Atlantic salmon). It matches the Rfam family "tRNA". Rfam says of the family: Transfer RNA (tRNA) molecules are approximately 80 nucleotides in length. Their secondary structure includes four short double-helical elements and three loops (D, anti-codon, and T loops). Further hydrogen bonds mediate the characteristic L-shaped molecular structure. tRNAs have two regions of fundamental functional importance: the anti-codon, which is responsible for specific mRNA codon recognition, and the 3' end, to which the tRNAs corresponding amino acid is attached (by aminoacyl-tRNA synthetases). tRNAs cope with the degeneracy of the genetic code in two manners: having more than one tRNA (with a specific anti-codon) for a particular amino acid; and 'wobble' base-pairing, i.e. permitting non-standard base-pairing at the 3rd anti-codon position. The record is from Rfam by way of RNAcentral. Lineage: Eukaryota; Metazoa; Chordata; Actinopteri; Salmoniformes; Salmonidae.
UGGGGUUGGGCUCAGUGGAUAGAGCAUGGCACUUGCAACGCCAGGGUUAUGGGUUCCCGAAAUCCCAC